Long non-coding RNA from Ahaetulla prasina, 464 nucleotides. RefSeq lists it as uncharacterized. Lineage: Eukaryota; Metazoa; Chordata; Lepidosauria; Squamata; Colubridae. The record is from RefSeq and is a predicted model, not a curated record. The transcript is spliced from 3 exons.
ACCGGCCCCUGGCCCAGAUGAUCCUGAGCUUAGCCACAGCAUCCUUCCCUCCUUCAGUCAGUUCCAGGAACAAACGCCGGAGAUUUUCAGUCGUUUUCACCCUUUGAAGUCUUUCCGUCUCGACACACUGACACAGAAAACCUCAUGUUUGAUUUUUACACUGUGCUCAGUAUGGGAGCUGUGAUGGAUGGUGAGGUGAUGCUCUGGAAUUCAUCCAAGACAAUACAGUGAACAGGAAAGUCUAUAUUCCCAGCUUCCUGUUGGGCGCCAUUCAGUUCCAGGGCGAAUUUGGAGUUGUCCCUGAGGUACGCACUUUGACAAUUGGUUCCAAAUUCCUUUCAAGACUAUGGACAUGUGCAUGUACACUACAGUAUAUGCAAUAAUAUUUCUCAGAGGUCCUCCACAGACAUGCAGUAAUAUGGUUUUGCAAUGCUUUGAACUCUUUUGGAAGAUUCUUAACUAAA